AACUGAUACUACCUGCGGGAACCUGCGGAAGGAUCAUUAAUGAGAAACUGCCCCUCGCGGGUAGAUCUCCCACCCUUUGUAAACUUACCUUUGUUGCUUUGGCAGGCCCGUCUCCGGACCGCCGGCUUCGGCUGGCCAGUGCCUGCCAGAGGAUUCUAAAACUCUGUCUGUCAGUGUUGUCUGAGUCUAUAUACAAUCGUUAAAACUUUCAGCAACGGAUCUCUAGAUCGGAAGAGCACA
Molecule: unclassified non-coding RNA, 240 nt
Filed under: soil metagenome
Description: partial contains 5.8S ribosomal RNA, internal transcribed spacer 2, and large subunit ribosomal RNA
Source: RNAcentral